GGCUUUGCGCAGUGGCAGUAUCGUAGCCAAUGAGGUUUAUCCGAGGCAUGAUUAUUGCUAAUUGAAAACUUUUCCCAAUACCCCACCAUGACAACUUGAAAUAUAGUCGGCAUUGGCAAUUUUUGACAGUCUCUACGGAGA
Molecule: small nuclear RNA, 141 nt
Filed under: Prolemur simus (greater bamboo lemur)
Lineage: Eukaryota; Metazoa; Chordata; Mammalia; Primates; Lemuridae
Description: U4 spliceosomal RNA (ENSPSMG00000024252.1)
Rfam family: U4 spliceosomal RNA
About the family: U4 small nuclear RNA (U4 snRNA) is a component of the major U2-dependent spliceosome. The structure of U4 snRNA from yeast and human has been reported.
Source: Rfam by way of RNAcentral